UUGGCUGCAGCUUGGCUUGAAGAGAUCAUGGCAUUACAAUUCUUGCAUUUGUUAUGUCCUAUUCCCUUCGAUGUGUCUGCCAUCAUUCCAUUCAUAAUAUCGUAUUGAUCUUGAAUAUCUGCCUUUCGAGAAUUUUUUUGGGAGGAAAAGAUUUGAUUUUUACUUACAUUUGUCAUUGUUACAAAUCUAAAAGGUAAAGUUAAAAGAAGAACAAGAGUUAAUGAAGAUGCCGUCAAUAAUAUUUAUAAACAAACCAUGUGAGGAUUUAUUAGGAUAAAAAUAUACCGUGUGAUGUGUAAA
RNAcentral lists this long non-coding RNA (300 nucleotides) under Jatropha curcas. RNAcentral describes it as "long non-coding RNA (JCUR_LNC002423)". The record is from RNAcentral. Lineage: Eukaryota; Viridiplantae; Streptophyta; Magnoliopsida; Malpighiales; Euphorbiaceae.